This 384-nucleotide long non-coding RNA is filed under the name Helianthus annuus (common sunflower). RNAcentral describes it as "sRNA HanXRQr2_Chr02g0060751". Lineage: Eukaryota; Viridiplantae; Streptophyta; Magnoliopsida; Asterales; Asteraceae. The record is from RNAcentral.
UUCUUUAAUAAUGGUAGCCUAUCAUCUGACCUAAUAACACUAGCCAUCUCAUUAUCGAUUUUGUUUUCUUGCCGCACAAGCUUUUGCCACCGCUGUUGCGCUACUUGACGCGGCUCCUUGGUUGUCAAUAUCAAUUCAACCCGCGAAAACUGCCACCGCCUUGAUUCGUUUCCGUUUGAUGGACAUAAAACUUAAAUAAUUUUUCUCUGUUCCGCAAAUAAGGUCGCCUACUCGUCCAAGACAAAUUGUUUUGCUUUGCUUACUUAUAAGUAUCUCUGUUCUGAUAUGUGCACAGGUCCGCCCUAGUGUCGUGAUCAUCAUCCUAUGGAAUAACUCCUGAAAACACAUGUGAAAAUAGGUACGUCAGCAUAAAAAUGCCUGUGA